This is a long non-coding RNA of Gadus morhua (Atlantic cod), 352 nucleotides long. RefSeq lists it as uncharacterized. The transcript has 2 exons. NCBI's taxonomy places the organism in Eukaryota, Metazoa, Chordata, Actinopteri, Gadiformes, Gadidae. The record is from RefSeq and is a predicted model, not a curated record.
UCAUGUCGUUUAUAUGUUCAAUUUAAAAGAAAAGAUAAACCUAGUCUAAUAUGUUGUUUCAUCUUCUAGAGACCAUCCAGAGAACUCAUUGCUUCGGUUUGAUUGACGUCUAUUGGCCCUGCAGCCUGCUGUUUUUUUUACCAUCCAAACCCCCCUACCCCAUCUUUCUCGCUACCCCCAAACCCCAUCUCCUCUUAUGGCGUUUUUGAUGUCUCUUUUUUGAGACCGCUCAGUAAAACGGCUUGCCUAUCCUCUACCUGUCUCUACCCUAUUUCUCUCUAACUUAUUUACCGCUAUCAUUACGGCAUUCUCAUUUCUAAAGUACUUGAAAUGAACAAAAAAACCGAACUAA